AUGUCUCCUCUCCACUGGUGUCUCCUCUCCUCCGGUGUCUCUCCUCUCCUCCCGUGUCUCUCCUCUCCUGUGUCUCUCCUUUCCUGUGUCUCUCCUUUCCUGUGUCUCUCCUCUCCUCCUGUGUCUCUCCUUUCCUCCUGUGUCUCUCCUCUCCUCCUGUGUCUCUCCUCUCCUCCGGUGUCUCUCCUCUCCUCCUGUGUCUCUCCUUUCCUGUGUCUCUCCUCUCCUCCUGUGUCUCUCCUCUCCUCCUGUGUCUCUCCUCUCCUCCUGUGUCUCUCCUCUCCUCCUGUGUCUCUCCUCUCCUCCUGUGUCUCUCCUCUCCUCAUGUGUCUCUCCUCUCCUCCUGUGUCUCUCCUCUCCUCCUGUGUCUCUCCUCUCCUCUGGUGUCUCUCCUCUCCUCUGGUGUCUCUCCUCUCCUCCGGUGUCUCUCCUCUCCUCAUGUGUCUCUCCUCUCCUCAUGUGUCUCUCCUCUCCUCAUGUGUCUCUCCUCUCCUCAUGUGUCUCUCCUCUCCUCCUGUGUCUCUCCUCUCCUCCUGUGUCUCUCCUCUCCUCCUGUGUCUCUCCUCUCCUCCGGUGUCUCUCCUCCUGUGUCUCUCCUCUCCUCAUGUGUCUCUCCUCUCCUCCUGUGUCUCUCCUCUCCUCCUGUGUCUCUCCUCUCCUCCUGUGUCUCUCCUCUCCUCCUGUGUCUCUCCUCUCCUCAUGUGUCUCUCCUCUCCUCCUGUGUCUCUCCUCUCCUCCUGUGUCUCUCCUCUGGUGUCUCUCCUCUCCUCUGGUGUCUCUCCUCUCCUCCGGUGUCUCUCCUCUCCUCAUGUGUCUCUCCUCUCCUCAUGUGUCUCUCCUCUCCUCAUGUGUCUCUCCUCUCCUCAUGUGUCUCUCCUCUCCUCCUGUGUCUCUCCUCUCCUCCUGUGUCUCUCCUCUCCUCCUGUGUCUCUCCUCUCCUCCGGUGUCUCUCCUCCUGUGUCUCUCCUCUCCUCAUGUGUCUCUCCUCUCCUCCUGUGUCUCUCCUCUCCUCUGGUGUCUCUCCUCUCCUCUGGUGUCUCUCCUCUCCUCCGGUGUCUCUCCUCUCCUCAUGUGUCUCUCCUCUCCUCAUGUGUCUCUCCUCUCCUCCUGUGUCUCUCCUCUCCUCCUGUGUCUCUCCUCUCCUCCUGUGUCUCUCCUCUCCUCCGGUGUCUCUCCUCUCCUCCUGUGUCUCUCCUCUCCUCCUGUGUCUCUCCUCUCCUCCGGUGUCUCUCCUCCUGUGUCUCUCCUCUCCUCCUGUGUCUCUCCUCUCCUCCGGUGUCUCUCCUCUCCUCAUGUGUCUCUCCUCUCCUCCUGUGUCUCUCCUCUCCUCCUGUGUCUCUCCUCUCCUCCUGUGUCUCUCCUCUCCUCCGGUGUCUCUCCUCCUGUGUCUCUCCUCUCCUCCUGUGUCUCUCCUCCCCUCCGGUGUCUCUCCUCCUGUGUCUCUCCUCUCCUCCUGUGUCUCUCCUCUCCUCCUGUGUCUCUCCUCUCCUCCGGUGUCUCUCCUCUCCUCCGGUGUCUCUCCUCUCCUCCUGUGUCUCUCCUCUCCUCCGGUGUCUCUCCUCCUGUGUCUCUCCUCUCCUCCUGUGUCUCUCCUCUCCUCCGGUGUCUCUCCUCCUGUGUCUCUCCUCUCCUCCUGUGUCUCUCUUCUCCUCCUGUGUCUCUCCUCUCCUCCUGUGUCUCUCCUCUCCUCCGGUGUCUCUCCUCUCCUCCUGUGUCUCUCCUCUCCUCCGGUGUCUCUCCUCCUGUGUCUCUCCUCUCCUCCUGUGUCUCUCCUCUCCUCCUGUGUCUCUCCUCUCCUCCUGUGUCUCUCCUCCUCUUUUUGUCUGUAAUGUAUUUUUCGUUAUGUGUCGGACCCCCCAGGAAGACUAG
RNAcentral lists this long non-coding RNA (1869 nucleotides) under Oncorhynchus mykiss (rainbow trout). Its description in RNAcentral is "lncRNA (ENSOMYG00000052952.1)". The record is from RNAcentral. Lineage: Eukaryota; Metazoa; Chordata; Actinopteri; Salmoniformes; Salmonidae.